This 74-nucleotide transfer RNA is filed under the name Alphaproteobacteria bacterium. RNAcentral describes it as "tRNA-Glu". The record is from RNAcentral. Lineage: Bacteria; Pseudomonadati; Pseudomonadota; Alphaproteobacteria.
UCGGGUUGUGGGGCGGCGCCGUGCUCGGCCGGAUCUCCACCGGCGCGCCGGCGUUCGGGUUCGUUCAGCUCGGU